GACGAACGCUGGCGGCGUGCCUAAUACAUGCCAGUCGAACGCACAGUUUAUACCGUAGCUUGCUACACCAUAGACUGUGAGUUGCGAACGGGUGAGUAACGCGUAGGUAACCUGCCUGGUAGCGGGGGAUAACUAUUGGAAACGAUAGCUAAUACCGCAUAAUAUUGAUUAUUGCAUGUUAAUUGAUUGAAUGAUGCUAUUGCAUCACUACCAAAUGGACCUGCGUUGUAUUAGCUAGUAGGUGAGGUAACGGCUCACCUAGUGGACGAUACAUAGCCGACCGGAGAGGGGGAUAGGCCACACUGGGACUGGAACACGGCCAAGAAUCCUGCGGGAGGGAGAAGGAGGGAAUCUUCGGCAAAGGAAGAAAGGCGGAACGAGCAACGCCGCGUGAGUGAAGAAGGGUGUCGGAUCGUGAAGAUCAGUUGUAAGAGAAGAACGGGAGUGAGAGUGGAAAGUGCACACUGUGACGGUAACUUAACAGAAAGGGACGGCUAACUACGUG
RNAcentral lists this ribosomal RNA (505 nucleotides) under uncultured bacterium. RNAcentral's name for it is "partial 16S ribosomal RNA". It matches the Rfam family "Bacterial small subunit ribosomal RNA", at positions 28 to 507 of the family's 1533-position model. The record is from RNAcentral.